This is a long non-coding RNA of Tupaia belangeri chinensis (Chinese tree shrew), 731 nucleotides long. RefSeq lists it as uncharacterized. The transcript has 3 exons. The record is from RefSeq and is a predicted model, not a curated record. Lineage: Eukaryota; Metazoa; Chordata; Mammalia; Scandentia; Tupaiidae.
GGGUCAGCCUCCUAAAGUGUUUCAGAUAUAGAUAGAUAGUUCGGUAUGUAGACAGACAGACAGAUUAUCUCUAGGGAAAGUAAAUGGAGGAGCUCUAAUUGGCUUGACAGCAAGUAAUGAAUUAAAAUUAAAUGCCUACUGUGGAGAUGAUUUCCCAUACAAAAGACACAGGACUUGAAGUGUCCAGCUACCACACAAAAAAGAUGAUGAUACUUCAGGCCAAAAGCUCUAGAUCUUUGUUCUAAGCUGAGGAUUGCUGAGAGAUACAAUGCACAAGGAAGCUGCAGACAGAUGCGACCUACUUCCAGCGAUGACUCAGUUUAAUACUAUCUGUGACAGUGGCAGGGGUGAUGAUGGGGCCUACACUUGCGCAACUACUUCUUGCAAGUCGUUUCCCAUGAAAUAAGUCAUUUGGUGUACACAAGGACAAUUCAAAGCUGUCAUGGCAUAAAAUGCGACAGAAAUCUCCACUACAUGGGACAAAAACACAGUGGGUAUAUCCUGUGCAAGAUCAUAUUCCCAAUAAAUAUGGUUUAAUUGUGGUUUAUAUACAACAGAUUGGCUCUUUCCAGGAUCAGCCCAGCAUUGAUGAUCGAUCACCUUAGUAAAUUCGGGACUAAAGAUGGGAAGAGGUUCAAUGACAAAGGAAAAAAAAUACAGUCAAGCAUCAAGGAUAUAAAUGAAUGGGUCUGCUGGGGGCAUUCCUUCUGACUGUACACUUAUUAAAUAUG